GAGUUUGAUCCUGGCUCAGGGUGAACGCUGGCGGCGCGCUUAAUGCAUGCAAGUGGAGCGUGUCCGUGGCUUCGGCCACAAUGGAAAAGCGGCAGACGGCUGAGUAACGCGUGAGUAAUCUGCCCUUCGGUGGGGUAUAACCUCGGGAAACUGAGGAUAAUCCCGCAUACGACCAUUGUCCUUUGGGGCAUUGGUGAAAGGCUCCGGUCGCCGGAGGAGGAGCUCGCGUCCUAUCAGGUUGUUGGUGGGGUAAUGGCCUACCAAGCCUAUGACGGGUAGCUGGUCUGAGAGGAUGACCAGCCAGAGGGGGUGAGAUAGGAGAUUAGAGAUAGGGGGAAGAAAUGUAGGAGUAUAAGUGAGAAAAAUGGGGAGGUGUGGAGUAAUAAGGUUGGAGGAGGUGGAGAGGUAGUAGGGGUAAUUAGGUGGGAGUGAGUGGGUGGGUUAAGGGUGAUGUGGGGAGGUGUAGUAGGAGAGAGUAGGGGAUUAGAUGGGUAGAGUAUUUAGGAGUGAAUUUAAGUGGGAUGAAGGGUGGGUAUUUUAGUAAUAUUGCGCACAAGAGGGGCGAUGGUGAGUGGGUUGGGGGUGAAAAAAAGGUUUUGAGGGGAGNUUGAGUAAAAUGAGGGAUGAUUUAUUUUAACCCCCUUCUGGGCGGCCCGUUU
This 659-nucleotide ribosomal RNA is filed under the name uncultured bacterium. RNAcentral's name for it is "bacterial SSU rRNA". The stretch from base 40 to 353 matches the Rfam family "Bacterial small subunit ribosomal RNA", at positions 48 to 357 of the family's 1533-position model. The record is from RNAcentral.